Stegodyphus mimosarum is the source of this 73-nucleotide non-coding RNA. NCBI's taxonomy places the organism in Eukaryota, Metazoa, Arthropoda, Arachnida, Araneae, Eresidae. The record is from Rfam.
GCCUUUGUGGUGUAGUGGUCAACGUGCUCGACGCGUAUUCGAGAGGUCCGUGGUUCGAGUCCCGGCGAGGGCG